UACGGAGGGUGCGAGCGUUAAUCGGAAUUACUGGGCGUAAAGGGUGCGUAGGUGGUGAGAUAAGUUAGCUGUGAAAGUCCUGGGCUUAACCUGGGGAGGUCAGCUAAGACUGUUUGACUAAGAGUAUGGGAGAGGGUAGUGGAAUUUCCGGUGUAGCGGUGAAAUGCGUAGAGAUCGGAAGGAACACCAGUGGCGAAGGCGGCUACCUGGCCUAAUACUGACACUGAGGCACGAAAGCGUGGGGAGCAAACAGG
Molecule: ribosomal RNA, 254 nt
Filed under: uncultured bacterium
Lineage: Bacteria
Description: partial 16S ribosomal RNA
Rfam family: Bacterial small subunit ribosomal RNA
Source: RNAcentral